Molecule: ribosomal RNA, 212 nt
Filed under: uncultured bacterium
Lineage: Bacteria
Description: partial 16S ribosomal RNA
Rfam family: Bacterial small subunit ribosomal RNA
Source: RNAcentral
CAGUUCGGAUUGUAGUCUGCAACUCGACUACAUGAAGCUGGAAUCGCUAGUAAUCGCAGAUCAGAAUGCUGCGGUGAAUACGUUCCCGGGUCUUGUACACACCGCCCGUCACACCAUGGGAGUCGGAAAUGCCCGAAGCCGGUGACCCAACCAAAAGGAGGGAGCCGUCGAAGGCAGGUCUGAUAACUGGGGUGAAGUCGUAACAAGGUAAC